Molecule: long non-coding RNA, 1342 nt
Filed under: Chrysolophus pictus (golden pheasant)
Lineage: Eukaryota; Metazoa; Chordata; Aves; Galliformes; Phasianidae
Description: lncRNA (ENSCPIG00010010814.1)
Source: RNAcentral
GACAGAUCUGCCCUUCUGUUAUCAGACACUGCUCUUUUGCUAUCUCAAUUUCAUAACAAUUACCUCUGCCUGAGCGCUAGAGGAUCAGCCACGUUGGGCAAAGCAGUCCUCUGAGAAAGAGAAUGAUGGAUGACAGAGCGAUUCCCUUCAACAUGACUGGGGCACUGAGGCUCCUGUUCAACUCUGGAUAUGCUGGAGAACCCCCGUUGCUCCUUUUCACUGUAACUUCAGCUAACAAAACUGUUCACAGAAAAGCAUUCCAAGGUUCUUGAGAAGGUUCUUCAGCAGUACUGAUGGGUGUUUCCCUAAAUGGCUCUGGGACCUCCUGGCCCUUUAUCCAAGUAGAGGGCACUGGAUCCUGUAAACUGGAAUUGGUACAUUGCAGCUCAAAGGGCCUAACAGCUUUAGCAGAUGGACUGAUUCUUUUUUUCCUCUGGACACUUGUGAUGUGGAAGAGAAGUCUGUACACCCGCUGACAGAGAGACAUCCAGCGCCUUGAGAAGACGCAAUCUGGCCGUGUGCAUUGUUAAUCAGAAGAUUUGCCAUAGGAAUCCAGAAACGCUGCCUUCAAGAGAACUGACUGUUGGCAUGUAAAAAAAAAGCACACCAGAGAAACCCUGAAGUUCUGAGAUGUAGUUGACUUUCUAAAUACAGGCAAGUUGCAAUUAAAAAACAGUUAUUUGGGGAGAGAAAUGCAUUCAAAAUACAGUUCUUUGGAGGGGGCUGGCAGGCACAUCACAAGUGAAACAAAUUAGUAAUGUGAGGAGGUAGCUAUGCUCAAGGAUUAACUAAUUUUGGACAGCUGUAGGAGCCAACCCACUGGGCUCUGUGCAUUGCCUCACUGUAACUAUUUAUCCUGCUCCUCUGGAUACCAGGGCAUCACAGAACCAGGCAUCUGAAAUGCAGCUUUCCCCUACAAAUGCAACUAAACCAGCUGCCGCAUUUUGCAGAGAUCCUGACACUGUAGUGCUGAGCUGCUCUCCAUCCCACUUGAUGGAAUCUGCUCACCUCAGCCUGUGUGUUGGGGUACGGCCAGUCAGUCAGGCUUUGCCAGUAUGGGGCUGAGCAUGGAGAAAUAUCCUUAGCGAUAUUUAUUGUAAAGCUGCUGAAAGGUGUCACAGUAGACAGCCUACACAACGAAACUAUCUCCUCCAAUUAGUCCAUGGUCAUCAGUGAGGUAAAUGUCUCUGCCUUCUGACCCAGACAGGGUGGAGUUUUAAUAACAGACAUAAAUCUGUUGUGCUUCUCUCCUCAUGACCUAACAUAUGCUGUCAGGGCAAUGCAUGCCUCAGAGAAGUAGAAUUUAUGUGUACAAUAAAACAACAGAGCUUCAGUGCUAUCA